This 85-nucleotide transfer RNA is filed under the name Hyphomicrobiales bacterium. RNAcentral's name for it is "tRNA-Leu". It matches the Rfam family "tRNA". Rfam says of the family: Transfer RNA (tRNA) molecules are approximately 80 nucleotides in length. RNAcentral also lists the same sequence under 1 other name. The record is from RNAcentral. Lineage: Bacteria; Pseudomonadati; Pseudomonadota; Alphaproteobacteria; Hyphomicrobiales.
GCCCAGGUGGCGGAAUUGGUAGACGCACUGCUUUCAGGUAGCAGCGGGUAACACCGUGAAGGUUCGAGUCCUUUCCUGGGCACCA